This 282-nucleotide long non-coding RNA is filed under the name Physcomitrium patens. RNAcentral's name for it is "long non-coding RNA (PPAT_LNC010195)". Lineage: Eukaryota; Viridiplantae; Streptophyta; Bryopsida; Funariales; Funariaceae. The record is from RNAcentral.
CGUGACAUUACUCCUCCUUCUAGGGACGAGUUCCACGAGGAGCGGUCAUCAUAUGUUGAAGAAAUCUAAGAUGCGACAAAUUGUAUUUGCUACAUAUUCUGAUCUUUAUUCUCUUCGAAGAUAGUUGAUAGGGCCUCUCAACCAUCGAUAGUGUUCCAUACCAUGGCGACAAGACCACCCUAUUAUUUAAUUGCUGUUGAGGCCUUCAUAACUUCCUUCAAAUAUAACAUUUGGAAUACCGUCACGAGUUGUUCCUACCUCUAAUAAAAUAACCAAACAUCC